CCUGGUGGCUCAGAGGGUAAGCGUCUGCCUGCAAUGCAGGAGACCUGGGUUCGAUCCCUGGGUCAGGA
This 68-nucleotide transfer RNA is filed under the name Bos taurus (domestic cattle). It matches the Rfam family "tRNA". Rfam says of the family: Transfer RNA (tRNA) molecules are approximately 80 nucleotides in length. RNAcentral also lists the same sequence under 3 other names. The record is from Rfam by way of RNAcentral. Lineage: Eukaryota; Metazoa; Chordata; Mammalia; Artiodactyla; Bovidae.